Molecule: ribosomal RNA, 215 nt
Filed under: Staphylococcus aureus
Lineage: Bacteria; Bacillati; Bacillota; Bacilli; Caryophanales; Staphylococcaceae
Description: partial 16S ribosomal RNA
Rfam family: Bacterial small subunit ribosomal RNA
Source: RNAcentral
UUUUAUGGAGAGUUUGAUCCUGGCUCAGGAUGAACGCUGGCGGCGUGCCUAAUACAUGCAAGUCGAGCGAACGGACGAGAAGCUUGCUUCUCUGAUGUUAGCGGCGGACGGGUGAGUAACACGUGGAUAACCUACCUAUAAGACUGGGAUAACUUCGGGAAACCGGAGCUAAUACCGGAUAAUAUUUUGAACCGCAUGGUUCAAAAGUAAAAGAC